This 738-nucleotide unclassified non-coding RNA is filed under the name Athalia rosae (coleseed sawfly). RNAcentral's name for it is "misc RNA ENSAEAG00005005757.1". Lineage: Eukaryota; Metazoa; Arthropoda; Insecta; Hymenoptera; Athaliidae. The record is from RNAcentral.
AAAACUAUCGUGAGGAAAGUGUAAAAAGUGAAUCUACCGUGCCUUACUGAAACCUUCACCCACCCGGUGGCUUGCCCGGAGGGUGGCGUGAAGAGAGAAGGAAGAACUUCCGGAUUUCGUCGUCGCACAGGCGAUUUGGCCGAUCCUCCCGUUAACUUCUUUGGAAAUAUCUUCUUAGAGGAGAUCGCUACCGUCAUCGUCAUCGCUUUCGUCCUACCGUCGUAGCAUCGUCCUGCCGGAUACCAUGGUCUGUUUUACGUGAUUGGUCUUACUCCCGUAUCCUACCGACAAUGGAGUAACUGAUUAGGAAAAGAUAUACGGUGCGUCCACGUCCGGAUUUAUUUAAUGAUUGCGACAACGAGGAAUUUUUUAGACAGUUUCGCUUCCGUAAGCCGACUGUGCAAGUAAUUCUAGCUCUUAUCGAACCUAGAAUAAGAAGCAGAACCGACAGAAAUAAAGCUGUGGAUCCUUUACACCAAUUAUUGCUGACUUUAAGAUUUUUUGCAACUGGGAGUUUUCAACUUGUAAUUGGUGAUCUUGGUGGGAUACACAAAUCUAUGAUGUGUCGAAUCAUAAAGAAGGUUACGGAAGCCAUAGCAGCCUUACGCCCACAAUACAUUCGAUUUCCUAAUACAGAUCUGGGUCUGCAACAAAGCAGAACAAAAUCGUAAAAUAUCGCUCGCUUCCCUCGAGUUGUGAGAGCUAUUGAUUGUACUCACAUCAAAAUACAAUCAUCAG